RNAcentral lists this long non-coding RNA (2125 nucleotides) under Fukomys damarensis (Damara mole-rat). RNAcentral's name for it is "lncRNA (ENSFDAG00000024510.1)". The record is from RNAcentral. Lineage: Eukaryota; Metazoa; Chordata; Mammalia; Rodentia; Bathyergidae.
AAUAUAUCCAAUUAUUAUAUUUUUAUGCAUCAACUAAAAAAUAACAGGAAAAAAAAAAAACCCUGCUGGCAGAAGUGCCAGAGAUGUGCUUCUGGGAUCUGGGUUUGGUUUCAUUCUCACAGAUGGGAAUUUGUGUUUCCAUUAGGAAUUCUCAGUUCUUCUCUCAAGAAGCCUAAUUCUCAUAAGGAAUCAAAAGCAUGCCACAUUUCAUGUUUCACCGUUACUUCAUGAAGAAGAACUCCAUGCCACUGUAGUGAGGAUUCUAUGAUGUGUAACCACAGUGCUGCACUUCAGCUCCCAGGCAGGACCAAAGGGAGAGGAAGCCCGCAGCCGCACCGAGACCGGGAGAGACCCUGCCCGGCUCCCGGAAGGCCGCCUGACUGGCCCACUGCUCCCUGCCGGCUCAGCUGUGCGCGGCUUCCCGCAUCUGCCCACCAUUCCUUUCCCGGGCCACUCGGUCCGCGCUGCUGUUUAUUUUCUUGCUAUCAAUACUUGAUCAGAGGAAAGGAAAGUUUUAAAAAUGCCGAUUGCACAGUUGCUGGAACUAUGGAAAAAGAUAGAAGUGGAGCCCAUGGAAAUAGAGACCACUGAGGAGGAGCUCAGCCUGGAUGCAGAACCGACCACAGAAGACACCGUGGAAGAAAUUAUGCAUAGUAAAGCAAACUGCAGUGCUGGGAAGUUACGAUAUUUAAGGAGUUUAAAGUUUAAUGCAGACAACAAAUGUGUCACUUGGCUUGGAUACUGUUAUGCUGAGCUAGGGCGGCAAGAAGGUCCCAGGUGGCCACAGUGCAGCCUUGCCCGGCAUGGCUGAGUGAAUUUAUCAUGGUCCAUAGGCAGCUGCCGCCUGGUUGCCUGGGAAACCCAUUUGGACUUUUGGCCAAGCACACCCAGGGCAGACUCCUCACUGCCCUGGGAGUGCGUGCAGCCUGUACAUCCAUAUGAGGAUGGCGCAGGGUGAUGUUAGACUAGAUGACAGUACCCGAUAGGCCUCCUCGGAGCCUGGGCGAUGAGGUGGGAAGGAGGAGUUGUCACAGUGGAGUUAGAAGGCCUCGGGCCAGGAGAUGGCUUAACUAGUCCAUUUCCAUGAGGCAGACGCCAAAUCUCCUACCUACCAGGCAGCUCCAGACCCCCGGGCCUGCUUGUCAUCUUGGCCCCACAGUAUUCUGAGAUGCAUAGGUGGCGUAGGUGAGCUUUUAUUUCACAGAAAAACCUGUGAAAAUAUUGGAACCCAUAUUUUUUAACUGUUUAGAUUUCAGGGUUAUGUUUAUUAAUCAUUAUAAAGACCAAUUUCCUGUCUGUUAAAUUUAGAAAACUAGAUUCAAUUUUUACUUUGUUUCUUAUAGCUGCUGGGACACUUUUCUCCCCAUUCUGGUGGCAGAACAGGAAAUGUAUGAAUGGUGAGAAGUGUCACUUCUGGUGCCAGCCAUCAUUUGGCCAGGGAGGGUGGGGGGGCACUGGACUUGGCUGCCAAAGGACAGCUCUCUGAGUCAACAAGGAUGUCAGAGAGUGCAGCAGCACAGAGACCAGAGAGGGACCCUUGCAGUUCACAUACAGCUCUUGUUGGGAUUUUUUUUUUUUGUACCAGGAAUCGAACUUGGGACCUUGUACUUGCAAAGCAGGCAGCAGAACCACUGAGCUAAUUCCCCGGCCCCAAUCUUCUCAGGUUGUCAGCAGGGUCUGCUGGCAUCUUCUGAUGAUCUUCUGAGUAGUUGUCACUGUAGCUUCCUGGAGUGACCAGUUUCCUGAUUUCCCAACUGGUCUCAGAUUGGACAUCUGACCUUUCCACUCAGUAGAGAAGUGAGGGAGGAAGGUAAGGGCGGAGACUGGUGGAAACACACUGAGCUCCUGAAGGAGAGAGCAACACAAGAGUGUCAUCAAGGCCCUGGAUUGAAGUCAUGGUGCCAGUAGAAGAAUGUCACCUGGGUCAGGCCGAGCAACCCAUGCAGCACCUGCAGGGCCAGUGCAUCAUCUCUCCCGAAUCUGGAAGGUACAAGGAGACUCACUGUGUCCCUUAAAAAAGAAGAAGACGAACAAGAAAGAAAAAAAAAAACAACCUGAACUUUUUUGAAUAUCAGUGAGACAAGAUGAAUGAGGAAGCCUAGGAACUAAUAAAGCAAUUAAAAGC